GAUGAACGCUGGCGGCGCGCCUAACACAUGCAAGUCGAACGGCACCCCUCUCCGGAGGGAAGCGAGUGGCGAACGGCUGAGUAACACGUGGAGAACCUGCCCCCUCCCCCGGGAUAGCCGCCCGAAAGGACGGGUAAUACCGGAUACCCCGGGGUGCCGCAUGGCGCCCCGGCUAAAGCCCCGACGGGAGGGGAUGGCUCCGCGGCCCAUCAGGUAGACGGCGGGGUGACGGCCCACCGUGCCGACAACGGGUAGCCGGGUUGAGAGACCGACCGGCCAGAUUGGGACUGAGACACGGCCCAGACUCCUACGGGAGGCAGCAGUGGGGAAUCUUGCGCAAUGGGGGGAACCCUGACGCAGCGACGCCGCGUGCGGGACGGAGGCCUUCGGGUCGUAAACCGCUUUCAGCAGGGAAGAGUCAAGACUGUACCUGCAGA
RNAcentral lists this ribosomal RNA (437 nucleotides) under uncultured bacterium. Its description in RNAcentral is "bacterial SSU rRNA". It matches the Rfam family "Bacterial small subunit ribosomal RNA", at positions 28 to 485 of the family's 1533-position model. The record is from RNAcentral.